UAAGGAAUAUUGCUCAAUGGGAGAAAUCCUGAAGCAGCAACGCCGCGUGGAGGAUGAAGGGCUUUCAGCUUGUAAACUCCUGUAAAGAAGGAAAAAAUUCCCAUUAGAAGGCAAAUGAUGGUACUUCUAAAGUAAGCCCCGGCUAACUACGAGCCACCAGCCGCGGUCAUAGGUAGGGGGCAAGCGUUGUCCGGAUUUACUGGGUGUAAAGGGUGCUAAGGCGGAUUUGUAAGUCAGAGGGGAAAUCUCAGAGCUUAACUGUGAAACUGCCUUUGAGACUGCAAGUCUAGAGUAUGGAAGAGAGUGAUGGAAUGUCUGGUGUAGCAGUGAAAUGCGUAGAUAUCAGAUAGAACACCAAUGGCGAAGGCAGUCACUUGGUCCAUUACUGACGCUAAAGCACGAAAGCGUGGGUAGCAAACA
RNAcentral lists this ribosomal RNA (420 nucleotides) under uncultured prokaryote. Its description in RNAcentral is "bacterial SSU rRNA". It matches the Rfam family "Bacterial small subunit ribosomal RNA", at positions 355 to 774 of the family's 1533-position model. The record is from RNAcentral.